Molecule: small RNA, 67 nt
Filed under: Alteribacillus iranensis
Lineage: Bacteria; Bacillati; Bacillota; Bacilli; Caryophanales; Bacillaceae
Description: Bacillus sp. X5B(2010) Bacillaceae-1 RNA
Rfam family: Bacillaceae-1 RNA
Source: Rfam by way of RNAcentral
GUGUAAGGAAGUUCGACUAAGAACGUCACGUCCUGUGACAACGUCGAACUGACCCACGUCGUGUGGG